Molecule: long non-coding RNA, 1046 nt
Filed under: Mytilus galloprovincialis (Mediterranean mussel)
Lineage: Eukaryota; Metazoa; Mollusca; Bivalvia; Mytilida; Mytilidae
Source: RNAcentral
CAAAAAGUUACUAAGGAAGAUGGAUAAUUAUGGCAUAAGGGGAAAUACCUGGAAUUGGGUAUCAGCCUUCCUUAGUAACAGAACGCAACAGGUUGCCCUUGACGGAGAGGUAUCUAGUCAAAUGCCUGUGGUAAGUGGGGUGCCCCAAGGCUCGGUUUUGGGUCCACUACUUUUUCUCAUCUUCAUUAAUGACCUACCUGCAGCAGUAACAUCAAAAACACGCUUGUUUGCAGAUGAUUGUAUCUUAUACAGAAACAUAACAAACCAACAAGAUUGUACCAUACUACAAAAUGAUCUAAACUGCCUAGCCAAUUGGGAAAAAACUUGGGGUAUGCAAUUCCAUCCUGAAAAAUGCAACUCCCUCACUGUAACAAGAUCACAGUCACCAUUCAAACAUGAUUAUGUAUUAAAAGGCCACAUCUUAGAAUCCGUCAGCACUGCAAAAUAUCUUGGUAUCACCCUUUCUCACAACAUGUCUUGGGAUACACACAUAAAUAAUAUUACUUCAAAAGCAAAUAAGAUCUUAGGCUUUCUAAAAAGAAACUUGAAAAUAAACCAGGAAGAAACUAAAAGUUUGGCAUACAAAUCCAUGGUACGUUCUAAUUUAGAAUACUGCUCUUCAGUUUGGUCACCUCACACCCAAAAACAAAAAAACAACAUUGAAAAAGUACAAAGAAGGGCAGCACGCUAUGUCACCAACAGAUACCACAACACCAGUAGUGUUACUUCCAUGAUUGACCAUCUUCAAUGGAAGUCACUUGAAACUCGCAGAAACAUCAAUCGAGUCACUAUGCUUUACAAAAUCUCUCACCAUCUCAUUGCAGUAGACCCAAACCUUUACCUUGUACCACAGCCAGUCAAAAACACCAGAUUCACUAAUCCAUUACAAUACCAGACAUUUAGCACAAGAACAGACUAUUUCAAGUACAGCUUUUUUCCAUUCACUGUUGUACUGUGGAACUCACUCCCACAAAACAUCAUCAGCGUUAACUCCCUGGAUCAGUUUAAAAUACUGAUCCAGAGUCAGUAUAUUUAGAUAUCUAACC